This 726-nucleotide ribosomal RNA is filed under the name Artemisia annua (sweet wormwood). RNAcentral describes it as "eukaryotic LSU rRNA". The stretch from base 309 to 464 matches the Rfam family "5.8S ribosomal RNA". Lineage: Eukaryota; Viridiplantae; Streptophyta; Magnoliopsida; Asterales; Asteraceae. The record is from RNAcentral.
AAGUCGUAACAAGGUUUCCGUAGGUGAACCUGCGGAAGGAUCAUUGUCGAACCCUGCAAAGCAGAACGACCCGUGAACACGUAAAAACAACCGAGUGUCGGUUGGAUCAAGCGCUUGUUUGAUGCAAUCGACGCUUUGUCGAUGCGCAUUCACUCGAGUCCGUCUGGACCCUUGUGAAUGUGUCAUUGGCGCAUUAACAACCCCCGGCACAAUGUGUGCCAAGGAAAACUAAACUCUAGAAGGCUCGUCUUCAUGUUGCCCCCGUUCGCGGUGUGCUCAUGGGAUGUGGCUUCUUUAUAAUCACAAACGACUCUCGGCAACGGAUAUCUCGGCUCACGCAUCGAUGAAGAACGUAGCAAAAUGCGAUACUUGGUGUGAAUUGCAGAAUCCCGUGAACCAUCGAGUUUUUGAACGCAAGUUGCGCCCGAAGCCUUUUGGCCGAGGGCACGUCUGCCUGGGCGUCACGCAUCGCGUCGCCCCCCACAAUUCUCUGUAAAGGGAACUCGUGUUUUGGGGGCGGAUAAUGGUCUCCCGUGCUCAUGGCGUGGUUGGCCGAAAUAGGAGUCCCUUCGAUGGACGCACGAACUAGUGGUGGUCGUAAAAACCCUCGUCUUUUGUUUCGUGCCGUUAGUCGCAAGGGAAACUCUAAGAAAACCCCAACGUGUCGUCUCUUGACGACGCUUCGACCGCGACCCCAGGUCAGGCGGGACUACCCGCUGAGUUUAA